GAAUACCUGCCUGUCACGCAGGGGGUCGCGGGUUCGAGUCCCGUCCGUUCCGCCA
This 55-nucleotide transfer RNA is filed under the name Providencia alcalifaciens PAL-1. RNAcentral describes it as "tRNA-Asp". It matches the Rfam family "tRNA", at positions 21 to 71 of the family's 71-position model. Rfam says of the family: Transfer RNA (tRNA) molecules are approximately 80 nucleotides in length. Their secondary structure includes four short double-helical elements and three loops (D, anti-codon, and T loops). Lineage: Bacteria; Pseudomonadati; Pseudomonadota; Gammaproteobacteria; Enterobacterales; Morganellaceae. RNAcentral also lists the same sequence under 1 other name. The record is from RNAcentral.